CACCAGAUUAAUAAUGACAGGUUAAUUUACUUAGUUAGUUAGUUAGUUAAUUUGGCUCAAAAGCAAAUAGCAAGGCCAUGUAGGGGGACAUGGAGUUAAGUACAGAGUAGUGUUCAUGUAAAGAAUUCAGACCACUUGAGGCCACUUGAACAAAGCGAUCGUCGGCAUCUUCACUAUCUCGUCUGGCAGCUUGUUCCACGGAUCCGCAACCCGGACGGAGAAAGCUCCUCUCUUUCGAUUGA
Molecule: long non-coding RNA, 242 nt
Organism: Octopus sinensis (East Asian common octopus)
Lineage: Eukaryota; Metazoa; Mollusca; Cephalopoda; Octopoda; Octopodidae
Exons: 5
Source: RefSeq, a predicted model, not a curated record